RNAcentral lists this ribosomal RNA (492 nucleotides) under uncultured bacterium. Its description in RNAcentral is "partial 16S ribosomal RNA". It matches the Rfam family "Bacterial small subunit ribosomal RNA", at positions 29 to 507 of the family's 1533-position model. The record is from RNAcentral.
AGUGAACGCUGGCGGUAGGCCUAACACAUGCAAGUCGAACGGCAGCACAGUAAGAGCUUGCUCUUACGGGUGGCGAGUGGCGGACGGGUGAGGAAUACAUCGGAAUCUACUUUUUCGUGGGGGAUUACGUAGGGCAACUUACGCUAAUACCGCAUACGACCUACGGGUGAAAGCAGGGGAUCUUCGGACCUUGCGCGAUUGAAUGAGCCGAUGUCGCAUUAGCUAGUUGGCGGGGUAAAGGCCCACCAAGGCGACGAUCCGUAGCUGGUCUGAGAGGAUGAUCAGCCACACUGGAACUGAGACACGGUCCAGACUCCUACGGGAGGCAGCAGUGGGGAAUAUUGGACAAUGGGCGCAAGCCUGAUCCAGCCAUACCGCGUGAGUGAAGAAGGCCUUCGGGUUGUAAAGCCCUUUUGUUGGGAAAGAAAAGCAGCAGGUUAAUACCCCGCUGUUCUGACGGUACCCAAAGAAUAAGCACCGGCUAACUUCGUG